AAAUUGUCAAGGUUAAAAAUUUUGUAAAGAUGCAGUCUUGUUGCCUUAAGUUUUGUAGUUAACAAAUGACUGAAAUUCAAGUGCCUAAAAAUAAUUAUUUUACGAUCUGAAGUCAUGUUUGAGAAAAUGAAUCCAUUGUGUAGAGUUUAUUUGUACAAUGAGGAAGAUACGCUUUGUGUAGGUGUCGUCCAGAUAAAAAAAAAAAAAAAAAAAAUUCAAUGUUCAGAAAUGCCACAAUGAUAGGUGUGUUAUUCUUAUGAAUUAUGCACAGAAAAUGUGGCAAGAUUAAUGCCACUCCAUUGAAGGCAAUGAUCACAAGGAUCUUUGUUAAUUAAGGGUGGGACAUACGUAAAUUGGUUAUUCAAGUUUCUAAUUUUUUUUCCUUCAAGUUUCAAGUUGUUGUUGUUGAGAGGUUUGGUUGAAAUUAUACCUAGUGUAGAAGGUUGCAUUAAAAAGGGUUUUCUUUUGGGGUGGGGCAUAUUUUGAGGCCAAAGAUUUUAUUUUGCUGUUUAGGUUGCUUUCACUAUCAAGAUUUUGAAUCUGAAGUUUUGAGUUUACCUCUGAAACUAAAUGGGAGAAAAUGCAAUCUUGAUUUUUAUGAAGUCCAUUAGCAUUGUUACUGAGGUGUAGAAUGCAGUGUUUUUGCUCAUAGAAUAGUUAGUUACUUGGCCCUUCUCAAGUAGGCCUAUUAAAUUUUGAAGAGCGUUUUCCCAAAAAAACAGGCAUUGUAUAAUAAUUGGCAAUAGAAUAUAAUUCUCAUAGAGAAGUGGUGUUUAGGCAAGGAAAGACUAUUAAUAGAGAUACCAGGCUGAAUGGCCUUCAAAUUAAGACAUGUUUGCUCAAGAAAUAUUGGUUAGAGUAAUGCGUUAAAGCUUAGACCAGAUGGGAAUUUAGACAAACCACUAUGGACAAGCACUUGUACGAUGUGUUUUAUGUAAACCCAAAGAGCGUAAAGUAGAUACAAGAAUGUCAUAAGUGUUUACCCCAUAAGGGGUAGGUUUUCCUCCUGUGACACCUUUCAAACUUUUUAUGUAGUCUAUUUCUGUUGCUGAAUGGCCUUAGUUGCCCUAGUGCUUGGCAUAUGCCAAAAAUCUGUAUAAUUCAAAUUAAUCAUAGGUGUUUCCAGCUUAAGUGGGGGAGGACUCAUUUCACCUUGAGGGGAUAAUCACUCAUGAACCGUAGUGCCUGAGUGUCAUGGUUGGCAUGGUGUUUGCGUCCCACCUCAGUGGUCGCGGGGUUCGAUUCUCUGCCAUUCCAUUGAGGAGUGGGAGCUGUAUUUCUGGUGAUAAAAGUUCUCUCGACGUGGUUCGGAAGUCACGUAAAGCCGUUGGUCCCGUUGCUGAAUAAACACUGGUUCCAUGCAACGUAAAAGCACCAUACAACAACAACAUAUCCAUGUUAAUCAUAUAUAUAUUUUUUUUCAGAUAGGCGUUUGUGUUGGAGCCUUUUUAAUUUCCUUUAAAGGUGCAUUUUUAAGGCGUGUGGAAGAAAGUUUAAUAUGUACAGUCCAUCUUGGCCAGGUUGUGUGGAACUGCAUGUCAUCACCAGGUUUUGAGAUUGGAUGAGAUCACUGUGGCCAGCCCAUGCAGCAUCUUGUGCAAUGCAAUACAUUUGAGGUAAUACAUGGAAAUUGUCAUCACCAGGUUUUUAGAUCAGAUAAGAUCACUGUGGCCAGCCCAUGCAGCAUCUUGUGCAAUGCAAUACAUUUGAAGUAAUACAUGGAAAUUGUCAUCACCAGGUUUUUAGGUCAGAUAAGAUCACUGUGGCCUGGCUUUGCAGCAUCUUGUGCAAUGCAAUACAUUUGAAGUAAUACAUGGAAAUUGUCAUCACCAGGUUUUUAGGUCAGAUAAGAUCACUGUGGCCUAGCCAUGGAGCAUCUUGUGCAGUGCAAUGCAAUGCCUCAGGUGAUAGUUUCAGUGAAGGGACACAAUUCAAUAACCAAUCUUUGGUACUGGAUUUGAAGUCAAGUGGUGAGGGAAGGUCAAUGAUAUUGGUGGAUCCUGCAUAGAAACCACAAAAUUAGGAAGGACUGUUGUCAGAUAUCGGGUGCCGUGGUUUUAGAUAUUGGAAAUAUUGUGACGAAGGACGGUUGUCAGAUAUCGGGUGCCGUGGUUUUAGAUAUUGGAAAUAUUGUGACGAAGGACUGUUGUCAGAUAUCGGGUGCCGGCGUUUUUAGAUAUUGGAAAUAUUGUGACGAAGGAUGGUUGUCAGAUAUCGGGUGCCGUGGUUUUAGAUAUUGGAAAUAUUGUGACGACUCAUUCAGCCGAUUUGAAAACAAUGACCAGUGGUAAAUAAAUUGGCUGGUUAUUUUAACAAAUGUUGGGCGGAGAUGGUCGAUUGUUUCCGAAACCCAGAUAUCGGGAUCGUGAUAUGUUCGGGGUAAGUACUGGUAAGUAUACGUUUUGUUGUGAGAAAAUAUUUUGAUGUUAAAAGCGUAUUUUGGGACUGGGCUAUUGAAAGAAAUAAAAGAAUAUUUGUUCGAAGCCUGUUCAUAGUAAUUGUAUUUAUUGUAUAUGUGUAAAAGAAAGUAUUUUAUGCCUAUUUUUCACAUUUGGUUAGUCCGUAUGGAAGGAAAAGCAAAUAUUCUAUGUACAGUUGAUGUCACAGGUUGUCUUAUUUUAUUUUCCAAGAAUUAAUAAAGAUUCGGAUAAC
Molecule: long non-coding RNA, 2652 nt
Organism: Macrobrachium nipponense
Lineage: Eukaryota; Metazoa; Arthropoda; Malacostraca; Decapoda; Palaemonidae
Exons: 14
Source: RefSeq, a predicted model, not a curated record